CCGCCGGCGACCGGCGCACGGGUGAGUAACACGUAUGCAACCUGCCCCUGUCAGGGGGACAACCCGCCGAAAGGCGGGCUAAACCCGCGUACAUGCCACCGUGGCAUCCCGGAGGCAGGAAAGGCUUCGGCCGGACAGGGAUGGGCAUGCGGCGCAUUAGGCAGUAGGCGGGGUAACGGCCCACCUAACCGACGAUGCGUAGGGGUUCUGAGAGGAAGGUCCCCCACACUGGUACUGAGACACGGACCAGACUCCUACGGGAGGCAGCAG
This 270-nucleotide ribosomal RNA is filed under the name uncultured bacterium. Its description in RNAcentral is "partial 16S ribosomal RNA". It matches the Rfam family "Bacterial small subunit ribosomal RNA", at positions 85 to 354 of the family's 1533-position model. The record is from RNAcentral.